This 474-nucleotide ribosomal RNA is filed under the name uncultured bacterium. Its description in RNAcentral is "bacterial SSU rRNA". It matches the Rfam family "Bacterial small subunit ribosomal RNA", at positions 28 to 507 of the family's 1533-position model. The record is from RNAcentral.
GAUGAACGCUGGCGGCGUGCCUCAAACAUGCAAGUCGAGCGGGGCUAUGUAAUAUCGCAAGGUAGAACAUAGCCUAGCGGCGAACGGGUGAGUAACACGUGGGUAACCUGCCUGGAAGACAGGGAUAACGAUUCGAAAGGGUCGCUAAUACCUGAUAAUAUCCUUUCAUCGCAUGGUGAUAGGAAGAAAGGGGAAACCCGCUUUCAGAUGGGCCCGCGUCCCAUCAGCUAGUUGGUAAGGUAAAGGCUUACCAAGGCGACGACGGGUAGCCGGUCUGAGAGGAUGUACGGCCACACUGGGACUGAGAUACGGCCCAGACUCCUACGGGAGGCAGCAGUUGGGAAUCUUAGGCAAUGGACGAAAGUCUGACCUAGCGACGCCGCGUGAGGGAAGAAGGCCUUCGGGUUGUAAACCUCUGUCAUGGGGAAGAAGUAAGUGACGGUACCCAACGAGGAAGCCCCUGCUAACUACGUG